GUCGACGGCAGCACGGAGCUUGCUCUGGUGGCGAGUGGCGAACGGGUGUUUAAUAUAUCGGAACGUACCCUAGAGUGGGGGAUAACGUAUCGAAAGUUACGCUAAUACCGCAUACGAUCUAAGGAUGAAAGUGGGGGAUCGCAAGACCUCAUGCUCGUGGAGCGGCCGAUAUCUGAUUAGCUAGUUGGUAAGGUAAAAGCCUACCAAGGCAUCGAUCAGUAGCUGGUCUGAGAGGACGACCAGCCACACUGGAACUGAGACACGGUCCAGACUCCUACGGGAGGCAGCAGUGGGGAAUUUUGGACAAUGGGCGAAAGCCUGAUCCAGCAAUGCCGCGUGAGUGAAGAAGGCCUUCGGGUUGUAAAGCUCUUUUGUCAGGGAAGAAACGGUGAGAGCUAAUAUCUCUUGCUAAUGACGGUACCUGAAGAAUAAGCACCGGCUAACUACGUGCCAGCAGCCGCGGUAAUACGUAGGGUGCAAGCGUUAAUCGGAAUUACUGGGCGUAAAGCGUGCGCAGGCGGUUUUGUAAGUCUGAUGUGAAAUCCCCGGGCUCAA
This 555-nucleotide ribosomal RNA is filed under the name uncultured bacterium. RNAcentral's name for it is "bacterial SSU rRNA". It matches the Rfam family "Bacterial small subunit ribosomal RNA", at positions 61 to 612 of the family's 1533-position model. The record is from RNAcentral.